RNAcentral lists this long non-coding RNA (595 nucleotides) under Phaseolus vulgaris (common bean). RNAcentral describes it as "long non-coding RNA (PVUL_LNC002291)". Lineage: Eukaryota; Viridiplantae; Streptophyta; Magnoliopsida; Fabales; Fabaceae. The record is from RNAcentral.
UGAGAUAUAGCUUAUAAGAGAAGUUCUUCACUAACAACAAAAGCAGUGUAACUAUAUGGACAAAGAGUGACUAGAUAGUAUCUGAAACUGAUUGUAAAAUUACUGAAAUGUCUAUAAUCAUUUGGUUUCUUUACUUCUUCAAAUGAUGAUACACAAUACUUACUUGAACUUAGGAGUACCUUUUUCAAAUCACUCUCGGCCUAGCCGAAUAUCAAUAUUUGGAGAAGGAGACUUGAAAAAAAAAUAAAAAAUUACUGACACAUCAACAGUACAACUAGUUCUAGGUAAUAUUUAGCUCCUCUUUGUGUAUAAAGAUUCAAGCAGAACCAUCUCUUGCAUGGUGAUGAUGGUGCAUUAGAAUUCAGAAAAAAAAGAAAGAGAAGGCUUGCCUCAUUGAGGGGUGACACUGAGAAGGAUCUUGAGAUUAGACUUCUUGUUGAAGAGAAGGGAAAAGUGAGUCCUGAUCCAGUUCCAGUUUCUCCAUGAUUGAAGGCAUUUCUUUGAGUUGUUGUUUCCUUCAUUUUCUUCAUUGAUGGGUUCUUCAGAUAACGGUGCAAGUCUACCCAUCCCAGUUUCUUGUGGUUGUUGAAACGUG